UACAGAGGUCUCAAGCGUUGUUCGGAUUCAUUGGGCGUAAAGGGUGCGUAGGCGGCGCGGUAAGUCGGGUGUGAAAUCCCUCGGCUUAACCGGGGAACUGCAUCUGAUACUGGAUGGCUUGAAUUCCGGAGAGGGAUGCAGAAUUCCAGGUGUAGCGGUGAAAUGCGUAGAUAUCUGGAGGAAUACCGGUGGCGAAGGCGGCAUCCUGGACCGACAUUGACGCUGAGGAGCGAAAGCCAGGGGAGCAAACGGG
This 253-nucleotide ribosomal RNA is filed under the name uncultured bacterium. RNAcentral's name for it is "partial 16S ribosomal RNA". It matches the Rfam family "Bacterial small subunit ribosomal RNA", at positions 524 to 776 of the family's 1533-position model. The record is from RNAcentral.